CAGGGAGACAACAAAAUGUUUAAUAUUAUUUUGUCACCUUAGGUCGAUCGGUAUCUCACGUUCUUAAUUAAUUAAGAAUUUCAAUUCCUAAGUUUUUCUAGGUCACACCCAUUAUUUUUCCUGGGCCAUUAGCUCAGGUGGUUAGAGCGCACCCCUGAUAAGGGUGAGGUCCCUGGUUCAAGUCCAGGAUGGCCCAUAUCUCUAUGUUGGGGGUAUAGCUCAGUUGGUAGAGCGCCUGCUUUGCAAGCAGGAUGUCAGCGGUUCGAGUCCGCUUACCUCCACUGAUUACCACCUCUUCCAUAAUCUGUAGAAAGGAAAUUUUUUGAGUUGUGAUCAACUUCUGAGCGAAUCUAGCUUCCUAAUGAAAUCAUUAAGAUGCUGGACUCAUUGAAUUAAUUUCAUUGUUUUCAGAGAACCUUGACAACUGCAUAGAUUAUUUUUUAAAGACAAUAAGCAUCUUUAAUGAUGCAGAUUUAUUAUUUGUGCGAAUGCAUUAAUAACAAUUCUAUUAAGCUGAUGCUUCAAUUUUGAAGUUAUU
Molecule: transfer RNA, 538 nt
Filed under: uncultured Prochlorococcus sp.
Lineage: Bacteria; Bacillati; Cyanobacteriota; Cyanophyceae; Synechococcales; Prochlorococcaceae
Description: partial 16S-23S ribosomal RNA intergenic spacer
Rfam family: tRNA (bases 209-281)
Source: RNAcentral